AGUCAUAAUGGUGGAGGCGUGAUUUACUCUAAUACCAAUUAUAUAACUCAAGAUCUAAUAUAGAACAAAAUAAUAUGGAAAAGAGAUAUCGGAGGAGGAAGAAAAAAAUUAAACUAAUACUUUAUUAACAAAAAGUAAUUAAUUACAUCGUGGGCGACACUCUCAGCCUUAUGCAAUCAUGUCUACUGUGACUUAUUCAUCUAAUUAAUCCACGUCUAACUAUAUAUACCUAUCCAAGUCAUAACAGAUGAUAAAUCCAACGUUUAUUUUGAAUAAUUACGAAUCCUAAUCGUAAUCAAAUAAAUAAUUUAAACUUAUCUCUAACUAUAUUUUAGUUAAGUUUGGAUUAUUAUUCUAACAACAAAGACAAAAUAAUAGUAUUGCUGUGAGUGCGCGUGCUAAUUUGGCUGCUUAUGCGAAUAGCAGGAGCCAUCUGAAAGGGAAUUUGGAGAGUAAAACAAAUUUGAUGGAAUCAAACAACCCUAUCAGAGUGGAAUUCUCGAAUCGGAUUUAGAGAUGUCAACGGGUCGGAUUCGGGGCGAAUUUUUAAAAACUCGAACCCGAACCCGAUUCCAAACCCGAGACCCGAACCCGAACCCGAACCCGAACCCGACGGAUUUUAAAAAUCCAUAUCCAAACCCGAACCCAAACCCGAACCCGAAAAUUUGAACCCGAACCCGAAAAUUUGAAUCCGAAACAAUUAUUUUUUUUUCAAUAUUUCAAAAUAUAUUAUAUUAAAUUUAAAUUUUUAAAAUACAAAUUCAAAUAUAACAUUAAAUUUUUAUAUAUAUAUUAUAUAUAAUACAAAAUAAAUUCGGAUUCGGGCCGGUUCGGGUUCGGGUCGUGUACAAUCAAAAUCCAUAUCCGAAUCCAUAUCCGUCGGGUUUUUAUUUUUUAAAUCCAUAUCCAAAUCCAUAUCCAUAUCCAUCGGAUAUAUCCGUUUCAUUCGGGUUCAGGUUCGGAUAAAAUUUCGGGUAUCCAUAUCCACUGACAUCCCUAAUCAGAUUAGAUUGUGACUCUCAUGAAAUUUGGAAUAGUUCUAUAUAAGGUAUAAUAGGACAAAAAACUUUUUAAUCCGACUAUAAUAUUAUGGGUAGUAGUUAGACUCGAGAGCUAAGAAUGUUGAGCGUGCUAAGACUUUGAAUCUUUAGUG
This 1153-nucleotide long non-coding RNA is filed under the name Ananas comosus (pineapple). Its description in RNAcentral is "long non-coding RNA (ACOM_LNC017208)". The record is from RNAcentral. Lineage: Eukaryota; Viridiplantae; Streptophyta; Magnoliopsida; Poales; Bromeliaceae.